AUUGAACGCUGGCGGCAUGCCUUACACAUGCAAGUCGAACGGCAGCACGGGUGCUUGCACCUGGUGGCGAGUGGCGAACGGGUGAGUAAUACAUCGGAACAUGUCCUGUAGUGGGGGAUAGCCCGGCGAAAGCCGGAUUAAUACCGCAUACGAUCUACGGAUGAAAGCGGGGGACCUUCGGGCCUCGCGCUAUAGGGUUGGCCGAUGGCUGAUUAGCUAGUUGGUGGGGUAAAGGCCUACCAGGGCGACGAUCAGUAGCUGGUCUGAGAGGACGACCAGCCACACUGGGACUGAGACACGGCCCAGACUCCUACGGGAGGCAGCAGUGGGGAAUUUUGGACAAUGGGCGAAAGCCUGAUCCAGCAAUGCCGCGUGUGUGAAGAAGGCCUUCGGGUUGUAAAGCACUUUUGUCCGGAAAGAAAUCCUUGGCCCUAAUACGGUCGGGGGAUGACGGUACCGGAAGAAUAAGCACCAGCUAACUACGUG
Molecule: ribosomal RNA, 486 nt
Filed under: uncultured bacterium
Lineage: Bacteria
Description: partial 16S ribosomal RNA
Rfam family: Bacterial small subunit ribosomal RNA
Source: RNAcentral